UACGUAGGGUGCAAGCGUUAAUCGGAAUUACUGGGCGUAAAGCGUGCGCAGGCGGUUUUGUAAGUUUGUCGUGAAAUCCCCGGGCUCAACCUGGGAAUUGCGAUGAAGACUGCAAGGCUAGAAUCUGGCAGAGGGGGGUAGAAUUCCACGUGUAGCAGUGAAAUGCGUAGAGAGUCCGGAAGAACACCGGUGGCGAAGGCGGUUAGCUGGGCAGUUGCUGACACUGAGGCGCGACAGCGUGGGGAGCAAACAG
Molecule: ribosomal RNA, 253 nt
Filed under: uncultured bacterium
Lineage: Bacteria
Description: partial 16S ribosomal RNA
Rfam family: Bacterial small subunit ribosomal RNA
Source: RNAcentral